UGGGGAAUAUUGCACAAUGGGCGAAAGCCUGAUGCAGCCACGCCGCGUGAGUGAUGACGGCCUUCGGGUUGUAAACCUCUUUUAGCAGGGACGAAGCGCAAGUGACGGUACCUGCAGAAGAAGCACCGUCUAACUACGUGCCAGCAGCCGCGGUAAUACGCAGGGUGCAAGCGUUGUCCGGAAUUACUGGGCGUAAAGAGUUCGUAGGCGGUUUGUCGCGUCGGUUGUGAAAGCCAGCAGCUCAACUGCUGGCUUGCAGGCGAUACGGGCAGACUUGAGUACUGCAGGGGAGACUGGAAUUCCUGGUGUAGCGGUGAAAUGCGCAGAUAUCAGGAGGAACACCGGUGGCGAAGGCGGGUCUCUGGGCCGUAACUGACGCUGAGGAACGAAAGCGUGGGUAGCGAACAGG
Molecule: ribosomal RNA, 409 nt
Filed under: Acidobacteriota bacterium
Lineage: Bacteria; Pseudomonadati; Acidobacteriota
Description: Acidobacteria bacterium partial 16S ribosomal RNA
Rfam family: Bacterial small subunit ribosomal RNA
Source: RNAcentral